Long non-coding RNA from Malaya genurostris, 3213 nucleotides. RefSeq lists it as uncharacterized. The transcript has 2 exons. NCBI's taxonomy places the organism in Eukaryota, Metazoa, Arthropoda, Insecta, Diptera, Culicidae. The record is from RefSeq and is a predicted model, not a curated record.
GUCAGCAAAGAAAAGAGGUUUGCGGUGUUUGCACAUCGGCACUGAUUUUUUUCAAAAUCAAACAGAUAUAAUACAGAAGGAUGUUUAGUGAGCGUAAUCGUUCAGAAAUACCGGUGUUCGUUUCUCGCGUGUCGGUCGCUUGGAUGUGUUCGGACUUGUUUCAGUGUUUUGAUUACCUCUGCUAGGAGAACUAGUGGAUGUUGAUGAUUCGCGCCACGGUCUGACUUUUUUUGUUUGGGAUGCAUGUCGCUUGGAUAUUUUUCCACGAUUAUCAGUGAGGACGAGGCUGCCGUUAUGUUCCUUUAAUACUGUGUGUCUUGUCGGAGAGAAACGCGGAUCUCCUUUCAAACGAUUCUGCUUGACAACGACAACUUCAUCUCCCGGUUUAAUUCUACAGUGUCGGGCACCCCGUCGCGCGUCUUCGCGUUUUUUUCCAGCCAAUUUGGCCUCGCGAUCUCUCUUCUCCAAGAGGGCUUCAUCGAAAUCUGAUUCGCGGUGUUGAAGCAAGGGUAAUCCUCUUUUGAUUUUCCGUCCGUACAUCACCUCUUCUGGUGGAACUUUUGUAAUACUGUGUGCAGCCGCAUUAUGGGCGUUCACCGCUUUUCUUAGUUCUUCAACGUAGUUUGUUUUCUCUGCGAUAGCCACUGCCAUAGCUUUGUUGAUUAGCUUCAUGUAGCUUUCAGCCAAACCAUUUUGCUGGGGAAAUAGAGGUGUCGAGUAAACUAUUGUGAUAUCCCGUUGUUUGCAAUAAUCCGCAAAAUCUUGCCCAUUGAAUGGUGGACCAUUAUCCGUUUUAAUGACUUUUGGGAACCCUUCUCUUUCAAAUAUGUCAUUGAGUAUAUUUUUGGUGCAUUCAAAACUAGUUGUUUUAACCGGUUUAGCUAUGACGUAUCUUGAUUUAUAGUCGACCACAACCAGGAUAAGUAUACCGCCAAACUUUAUAUAGGGGCCGUUGAAAUCUAAUGCCACAGUAUCCCAAGCUGUCUUUGGGAUGAAUAUUCGUUCCAUAGGUGUUGUCCUCUCCGGUUUGCCGUUGACACAACAAAUUUUGCAUGAUUCCACCCAAUUAGUUAUGUCUUUUGGCAUUCCUGGCCACCACACACGUUGUCGCAUGAUACUCUUCAUUUUUGCUGUUGAUGGGUGACCUUCGUGUGCUACCUCCAAAGCUCGCGUUUGGAGAGCAUUUGGGAUUACCGCACAUCCGGUUUUGGUGAGUAUACCAUUUCGAGCCGACAGAUUCUUCUCAACGGUACGAUACCUUUGCAAAUCAUGUGCCCAAACUCCAGUUUUCAACGCGUUCAGCACUUUUUGCAGCAUCUCAUCUUGGUCUGUAGCACCUUUAAUGUCUGCUUCCGUUAGAAUAUUUAUCAAGUUUGCUUCGAGAGUUGCUAGUUCCCAUGGGCUGUUUUCUUCGUCGAACGCUGUGUCAUCCCCAUUGUAAAGCCUAGAUGAUGGAUCGGCAAUAUUGUCCGUACCACGGAUAUACUCGAUGUCGUAUCGAUAAGGGCUUAAUCUAAGUGCCCAACCAUCGGCACGAGUCAUUGCACGCUUCGAGUCUUCCCUCGUUCUGUUGAGUAUAAAGGCAACACCUUGCGCGUCAGUACGGAGCGUGAAAUGUCUGCCAAGUAGAAAGUAAGAGAAGUGCUCCACUGCCCAGACUGCCCCCAAUGCUUCUCGCUGGUUUUGAGCAUAACGCUUUUCUGUAUGUGUCAGCGACUUAGAGGCGAAACUAAUGAUACGUGGCGCUUGAUUCGUCUGUUCUUGCACGAGAACAGCGCCCAAUGCAACGGGGGAGGCGUCCGUGUAGAGAACAGUUUUGUCGUCCUCUGAGAAAAAUCCUAGCGAUAUCGUGCAAUCAAUAAUAUUCUGCUUAAUUACGUUGAAUGCGUGCCUUUGUUCGUUACCCCAUGACCAUGUUUUAGAGGUUGUAAUGCUCCAUAAUGGACUAGAUAUAUCAGCCAAAUUUUUUAAAUAUGGACUGAGGAAUGAUGCCAAUCCCAGGAAACUCCGAAGCUCUGACAGUGUUGUCGGCUCUCUGAAAUUUUGUACAGAUCGUAUCUUCUCCUUAUCGAUGUGAAAACCAUUCUCAUCAAGUUCGUGACCUAUAAAUUGUAUCUUGGUCUUGUCGAACUCGCACUUGGCCGUAUUCAAGGUCAGGUUAUUUGCUCUCAAAAUUUGUAGUACAUUUGCAACUUCUGUGUGUAGCCCAUCCAAAGUGUCCGAGAAGAUGAGAAAAUCAUCGAUGUAUAUGAUUAUGUUCUUACUUGCAUCUUUUAGGAUUCUCGUCAUUUCGCGCUGGAAUAUUUCUGGGGCACAAUUUACACCAAACAUGAGUCUGGUAAAUCUAUACAUGCCGUUUUCCGUCAAAAAGGUAGUCAAGUCUCGGGAUUCAUCGGACAAUUCUAAGUGGUAAAACGCAUUUUUCAAAUCAAGCUUUGUAAAAUAUUUUGCCCCAUGAAGUUUGACUUUCAUCUCUUCAAGUAAUGGCAACCUGAAAUAUUCGCGGUUGAUCACUUUGUUAGGUGCACGCAUAUUUACCACGAGGCGGAAAUCGUUCUUCCCCUUCGCCACCGCGGACAUGCCGCUGAUCCAACCAGGAGCGGAUGUAACCUUUUCUAUGAUUCCUUGAGUCUCCAUUUCAUGUAGCCUCAGUUGUGCUGCUGCUCUGUAGGCUGCUGGUAUAUUAUAGUAUGCGGUUUUAGUAGGUGGUACUGAUUUAUCGAUGCUGAAUUUGACUUUUACUUUUGGUAUUUUUGGGAAUAUAAAAUUAUUAUGCAAUGACGUACAUUGAUUGACUGCGCCCCCGACAUGUAAUAGUCCAAUGUCGCUUGAUGUAGAACGCCCCAGCAAUGACCGCGUACCUUUCGGAAUGACAAAGAAAACAGCUGGUAUACCUGGCCUAGCCGAUGCUGCAGCAACGAUAACGCCUUUGACAGAACACUCGAUGAACAUCGGCUCUUGAGUCCUAUAUGCAUGCAACUUAUUAGUAGGUGCUUCCAAUAUUUCUAAAUUUGCUUUCCCUGUCUGGGAUUCUCGUUUCAGCUGAGUCCAAUCGGUUCCUCCUAUAACAUUUACGUCUGCGCCUGAAUCAAUUAGGAAUCGGAUAGGUGAAGAUGAUCCAAUGGAACAAGGGAUUACAACAUCUUCGAGUGAAAGGGCGUUGAGCAUCUGAAUUGAGUGGAAAUAUAACAAGAAAUAUAACAAGAAAUAUAA